UUCCUACGGGAGGCUGCAGUGGGGAAUAUUGGACAAUGGGCGCAAGCCUGAUCCAGCCAUACCGCGUGGGUGAAGAAGGCCUUCGGGUUGUAAAGCCCUUUUGUUGGGAAAGAAAUCCUGUCGAUUAAUACUCGGUGGGGAUGACGGUACCCAAAGAAUAAGCACCGGCUAACUUCGUGCCAGCAGCCGCGGUAAUACGAAGGGUGCAAGCGUUACUCGGAAUUACUGGGCGUAAAGCGUGCGUAGGUGGUGGUUUAAGUCUGCUGUGAAAGCCCUGGGCUCAACCUGGGAAUUGCAGUGGAUACUGGGUCACUAGAGUGUGGUAGAGGGAUGCGGAAUUUCUUGUGUAGCAGUGAAAUGCGUAGAGAUCAGAAGGAACAUCCGUGGCGAAGGCGGCAUCCUGGGCCAACACUGACACUGAGGCACGAAAGCGUGGGGAGCAAACAGGAUUAGAUACCCCAGUAGUCAC
Molecule: ribosomal RNA, 469 nt
Filed under: uncultured Lysobacteraceae bacterium
Lineage: Bacteria; Pseudomonadati; Pseudomonadota; Gammaproteobacteria; Lysobacterales; Lysobacteraceae
Description: bacterial SSU rRNA
Rfam family: Bacterial small subunit ribosomal RNA
Source: RNAcentral